RNAcentral lists this ribosomal RNA (566 nucleotides) under uncultured bacterium. RNAcentral's name for it is "partial 16S ribosomal RNA". It matches the Rfam family "Bacterial small subunit ribosomal RNA", at positions 355 to 914 of the family's 1533-position model. The record is from RNAcentral.
UGGGGAAUUUUGGACAAUGGGGGAAACCCUGAUCCAGCCAUCCCGCGUGUGCGAUGAAGGCCUUCGGGUUGUAAAGCACUUUUGGCAGGAAAGAAACGUCGCGGGUUAAUACCCCGCGAAACUGACGGUACCUGCAGAAUAAGCACCGGCUAACUACGUGCCAGCAGCCGCGGUAAUACGUAGGGUGCAAGCGUUAAUCGGAAUUACUGGGCGUAAAGCGUGCGCAGGCGGUUCGGAAAGAAAGAUGUGAAAUCCCAGAGCUUAACUUUGGAACUGCAUUUUUAACUACCGGGCUAGAGUGUGUCAGAGGGAGGUGGAAUUCCGCGUGUAGCAGUGAAAUGCGUAGAUAUGCGGAGGAACACCGAUGGCGAAGGCAGCCUCCUGGGAUAACACUGACGCUCAUGCACGAAAGCGUGGGGAGCAAACAGGAUUAGAUACCCUGGUAGUCCACGCCCUAAACGAUGUCAACUAGCUGUUAGGGCCUUCGGGCCUUGGUAGCGCAGCUAACGCGUGAAGUUGACCGCCUGGGGAGUACGGUCGCAAGAUUAAAACUUAAAUGAAUUGAC